CGUGGUUAACACAUGCAAGUCGAACGGAAAGGCCCUGCUUUUGUGGGGCGCUCGAGUGGCGAACGGGUGAGUAACACGUGAGUAACCUGCCCUUGACUUUGGGAUAACUUCAGGAAACUGGGGCUAAUACCGGAUAGGAGCUCCUGCUGCAUGGUGGGGGUUGGAAAGUUUCGGCGGUUGGGGAUGGACUCGCGGCUUAUCAGCUUGUUGGUGGGGUAGUGGCUUACCAAGGCUUUGACGGGUAGCCGGCCUGAGAGGGUGACCGGCCACAUUGGGACUGAGAUACGGCCCAGACUCCUACGGGAGGCAGCAGUGGGGAAUAUUGCACAAUGGGCGGAAGCCUGAUGCAGCAACGCCGCGUGCGGGAUGACGGCCUUCGGGUUGUAAACCGCUUUCGCCUGUGACGAAGCGUGAGUGACGGUAAUGGGUAAAGAAGCACCGGCUAACUACGUGCCAGCAGCCGCGGUGAUACGUAGGGUGCGAGCGUUGUCCGGAUUUAUUGGGCGUAAAGGGCUCGUAGGUGGUUGAUCGCGUCGGAAGUGUAAUCUUGGGGCUUAACCCUGAGCGUGCUUUCGAUACGGGUUGACUUGAGGAAGGUAGGGGAGAAUGGAAUUCCUGGUGGAGCGGUGGAAUGCGCAGAUAUCAGGAGGAACACCAGUGGCGAAGGCGGUUCUCUGGGCCUUUCCUGACGCUGAGGAGCGAAAGCGUGGGGAGCGAACAGGCUUAGAUACCCUGGUAGUCCACGCUGUAAACGGUGGGUACUAGGUGUGGGGUCCAUUCCACGGGUUCCGUGCCGUAGCUAACGCUUUAAGUACCCCGCCUGGGGAGUACGGCCGCAAGGCUAAAACUCAAAGGAAUUGACGGGGCCCCGCACAAGCGGCGGAGCAUGCGGAUUAAUUCGAUGCAACGCGUAGAACCUUACCUGGGUUUGACAUGGAUCGGGAGUGCUCAGAGAUGGGUGUGCCUCUUUUGGGGUCGGUUCACAGGUGGUGCAUGGCUGUCGUCAGCUCGUGUCGUGAGAUGUUGGGUUAAGUCCCGCAACGAGCGCAACCCUUGUUCACUGUUGCCAGCACGUUAUGGUGGGGACUCAGUGGAGACCGCCGGGGUCAACUCGGAGGAAGGUGGGGAUGACGUCAAGUCAUCAUGCCCCUUAUGUCCAGGGCUUCACGCAUGCUACAAUGGCUGGUACAGAGAGUGGCGAGCCUGUGAGGGUGAGCGAAUCUCGGAAAGCCGGUCUCAGUUCGGAUUGGGGUCUGCAACUCGACCUCAUGAAGUCGGAGUCGCUAGUAAUCGCAGAUCAGCAACGCUGCGGUGAAUACGUUCCCGGGGCUUGUACACACCGCCCGUCAAGUCAUGAAAGUUGGUAACACCCGAAGCCGGUGGCCUAACCGUUGUGGGGGAGCCGUCGAAGGUGGGACUGGUGAUU
RNAcentral lists this ribosomal RNA (1426 nucleotides) under uncultured organism. Its description in RNAcentral is "16S ribosomal RNA". It matches the Rfam family "Bacterial small subunit ribosomal RNA". The record is from RNAcentral.